This 937-nucleotide ribosomal RNA is filed under the name Cubamyces lactineus. Its description in RNAcentral is "eukaryotic LSU rRNA". It matches the Rfam family "Eukaryotic large subunit ribosomal RNA", at positions 39 to 961 of the family's 3401-position model. The record is from RNAcentral. Lineage: Eukaryota; Fungi; Basidiomycota; Agaricomycetes; Polyporales; Polyporaceae.
CAUAUCAAUAAGCGGAGGAAAAGAAACUAACAAGGAUUCCCCUAGUAACUGCGAGUGAAGCGGGAAAAGCUCAAAUUUAAAAUCUGGCGGUCUUUGGCCGUCCGAGUUGUAGUCUGGAGAAGCGUCUUCCGCGCUGGACCGUGUAUAAGUCUCUUGGAACAGAGCGUCAUAGAGGGUGAGAAUCCCGUCUUUGACACGGACUACCAGUGCUUUGUGAUGCGCUCUCAAAGAGUCGAGUUGUUUGGGAAUGCAGCUCAAAAUGGGUGGUGAAUUCCAUCUAAAGCUAAAUAUUGGCGAGAGACCGAUAGCGAACAAGUACCGUGAGGGAAAGAUGAAAAGCACUUUGGAAAGAGAGUUAAACAGUACGUGAAAUUGCUGAAAGGGAAACGCUUGAAGUCAGUCGCGUUGUCCGGGACUCAGCCUUGCUUCGGCUUGGUGCACUUUCCGGAUGACGGGCCAGCAUCGAUUUUGACCGCCGGAAAAGGGCUGGAGGAAUGUGGCACCUUCGGGUGUGUUAUAGCCUCCAGUCGCAUACGGCGGUUGGGAUCGAGGAACGCAGCACGCCUUAUGGCGGGGGGUUUACCCUACCUUCGUGCUUAGGAUGCUGGCAUAAUGGCUUUAAACGACCCGUCUUGAAACACGGACCAAGGAGUCUAACAUGCCUGCGAGUGUUUGGGUGGAAAACCCGAGCGCGUAAUGAAAGUGAAAGUUGAGACCUCUGUCGUGGAGGGCAUCGACGCCCGGACCUGACGUUCUCUGACGGAUCCGCGGUAGAGCAUGUAUGUUGGGACCCGAAAGAUGGUGAACUAUGCCUGAAUAGGGUGAAGCCAGAGGAAACUCUGGUGGAGGCUCGUAGCGAUUCUGACGUGCAAAUCGAUCGUCAAAUUUGGGUAUAGGGGCGAAAGACUAAUCGAACCAUCUAGUAGCUGGUUCCUGC